This is a non-coding RNA of Podarcis lilfordi (Lilford's wall lizard), 424 nucleotides long. Lineage: Eukaryota; Metazoa; Chordata; Lepidosauria; Squamata; Lacertidae. The record is from the annotation of a GenBank genome assembly.
CAGCGGCGUAGCGUGGGUUGUCAGCACCCGGGGCAAGGCAAGUAAUUUGCGCCCCCUAACCCGGGGCAAGGCAAGUAAUUUGCGCCCCCUAACCCCUAACCUGCCGCCGCUGCCAGCUUCUUCUUGCUGCUGCCUGGGCUGGUCUGGUGUGGUUCUCUCCCGCGCUCAGCGCUGCGCUGGGCAGCCGCUGCACUGUCCCUCCCCCAGAUAGUCCUCGCUCUCUCUCCGCACCGCACGCCUGGCACCCACCCCCUCCACAGUGGGCGGCGACCCAGCGGCUCGGAUCGGAUUCGCACAGCCAGCACUGCAGUGAGAGAGAGUGAGUGAGCCAGGUAGGGGCAGAGAGCUGCGAGUGCGAGCGCGCCCCCCAGAUGUUGCGCCCGGUGCGGCCGGCCCCCCCUGCACCCCCCACGCUACGCCACUG